UGGGGAAUAUUGCACAAUGGGCGAAAGCCUGAUGCAGCGACGCCGCGUGAGGGAUGACGGCCUUCGGGUUGUAAACCUCUUUCAGCAGGGAAGAAGCGAAAGUGACGGUACCUGCAGAAGAAGCGCCGGCUAACUACGUGCCAGCAGCCGCGGUAAUACGUAGGGCGCAAGCGUUGUCCGGAAUUAUUGGGCGUAAAGAGCUCGUAGGCGGUUAGUCGCGUCUGCUGUGAAAACUCGAGGCUCAACCUCGGGCUUGCAGUGGGUACGGGCUGACUAGAGUGCGGUAGGGGUGACUGGAAUUCCUGGUGUAGCGGUGGAAUGCGCAGAUAUCAGGAGGAACACCGAUGGCGAAGGCAGGUCACUGGGCCGCAACUGACGCUGAGGAGCGAAAGCAUGGGGAGCGAACAGGAUUAGAUAGCCCUGGUAGUCCAUGCCGUAAACGUUGGGCACUAGG
This 454-nucleotide ribosomal RNA is filed under the name uncultured bacterium. RNAcentral's name for it is "partial 16S ribosomal RNA". It matches the Rfam family "Bacterial small subunit ribosomal RNA", at positions 355 to 820 of the family's 1533-position model. The record is from RNAcentral.